Pungitius pungitius (ninespine stickleback) is the source of this 1072-nucleotide long non-coding RNA. RefSeq lists it as uncharacterized. NCBI's taxonomy places the organism in Eukaryota, Metazoa, Chordata, Actinopteri, Perciformes, Gasterosteidae. The record is from RefSeq and is a predicted model, not a curated record. The transcript is spliced from 3 exons.
AUUUCAGACCUGCGGAACUGUACUUUCAAUCUUUCAAACUAUAACUCUUGCUGUGAAUACUAACUAUGGAUCCCCAACAUAUAGUAUAGUAUGAAUUAAAAUUAAAGCAGAGAGGAAAACACAACGACUGUUGGCGAAAUCAAGUGGAAGGAUAUGUACGAGACAGAAACUGGUAAUCCGGCUCGAACAACGCGGCGAUCUAUUACGGCAAGUGACGUAACCAGGACCAACCCCAACACGAAAUAAAAGGCCUUUUUAUUUUUUCUUCUUAUUUCCGUUUCCCCCAUAUCUGGCCCGUGUGAUGUUCAAUUAACUUCGGUUGGAAUGUGUUUACAGGCAAAAAGAAAUAUAGGAUUAGAUUAAAGUGGGUUCCGGUGUAAAAUGGGUAUUCUGACAUCUUUGUGCAAAAGAAAAAGAUCGGAAAACCGUUUUCUUCACAUAAGUCAAGCUUACUGCCUCAACUCAAUGGACGACCAAAAUACGACACUUUUUUUACGGCAAUACACAAUAUUUAUUUAGGAAUAUGCGUAUAAUUUGUAACGUGGCCUAUAUUAUGCAAGAUAAAAAUACAUAAACAUGUUGUAUUUCGUAUGUAACUACACGUAGCAACAUAUUUGACGCGUAUUCCUAAUAGGAGUGAUAAUGGAAUCCUCAAUAAUUAUUAACCUGUCUCUCCUUUUCCUUCCAGUCUAGAGAAAUUGUCUGGCCAGAGAAGAUUCCUAAGAAUCUAUACACUCAUGAUUCAAGCCCUUCUUAGAUGUGACAAGUUUAAAUGGUGUUUUCUUCAUGUUUUUAUAUAUAUAUUAAGGGUAGACAUAUAUAUAUAUAAUCAGUAGCAGCAACAAAAAUAGUUUAAAAGUUUCACUAAUGAGUUUUAUACAUGUUAAAACGUAUAUGUGUCAACUUAAAUAAAUGCAUUAAUUGAGGACUACCGAUUGCGCAUGUGCCACAUUUUGCGCUUUUAGCGUCUUUUUUUCUGACUGAAACUGGCUGCAACAUCCUUAUCUCUGGCUCGGGUGAAAAUCCGUUAUUUGUUCAGCAUCACCAAGGCUUCUAAUGAUAAGUAACGUAA